This 253-nucleotide ribosomal RNA is filed under the name uncultured bacterium. Its description in RNAcentral is "partial 16S ribosomal RNA". It matches the Rfam family "Bacterial small subunit ribosomal RNA", at positions 524 to 776 of the family's 1533-position model. The record is from RNAcentral.
UACGUAGGUGGCAAGCGUUGUCCGGAAUUACUGGGUGUAAAGGGCGUGUAGGCGGGAUGUUAAGUCAGAUGUGAAAUUCCAAGGCUCAACCUUGGCGCUGCAUCUGAAACUGACGUUCUUGAGUGAUGGAGAGGAAAGUGGUAUUCCUAGUGUAGCGGUGAAAUGCGUAGAUAUUAGGAGGAACACCAGUGGCGAAGGCGACUUUCUGGACAUUAACUGACGCUGAGGCGCGAAAGCGUGGGGAGCAAACAGG